RNAcentral lists this ribosomal RNA (346 nucleotides) under uncultured bacterium. RNAcentral describes it as "partial 16S ribosomal RNA". It matches the Rfam family "Bacterial small subunit ribosomal RNA", at positions 338 to 681 of the family's 1533-position model. The record is from RNAcentral.
CCUACGGGAGACAGCAGUGAGGAAUAGUGGUCAAUGGACGAGAGUCUGAACCAGCCAAGUAGCGUGAAGGAUGACUGCCCUAUGGGGUGUAAACUUCUUUUAUAAAGGAAUAAAACGAGGCACGUGUGCCUUUUUGCAUGUACGUUAUGAAUAAGGAUCGGCUAACUCCGUGCCAGCAGCCGCGGUAAUACGGAGGAUCCGAGCGUUAUCCGGAUUUAUUGGGGUUACAGGGAGCGUAGAUGGGUUGUUAAGUCAGUUGUGAAAGUUUGCGGCUCAACCGGAAAAUUGCACUUGAUACUGGCAGUCUUGCGUACAGUUGAGGUCGGCGGCCUUCGUGGUGUAGCGG